CAAAAAAUAGUUUAAUAAAAAUACUGAUUUUGGGGAUCAGAAAUGAGAAAAUCUUUUUUGAUA
This 63-nucleotide transfer RNA is filed under the name Pauropus longiramus. RNAcentral's name for it is "tRNA-Pro". The record is from RNAcentral. Lineage: Eukaryota; Metazoa; Arthropoda; Pauropoda; Tetramerocerata; Pauropodidae.